Molecule: long non-coding RNA, 881 nt
Organism: Cercocebus atys (sooty mangabey)
Lineage: Eukaryota; Metazoa; Chordata; Mammalia; Primates; Cercopithecidae
Source: Ensembl
GAAAACGGGGGGAGAGGGAGAGUAUUGUGACCACCCCCUAGCCUGGGAGAGAGAUUUGUAUGCCUGUUGUGAAAAGCAGGGAUGGGAAUUCUGAAAUAAAAACACAGUUGGACAGUUUCCCACGGAGUGGUAACGUAAACCCACUCAGGCCAACCAUACUCAAGUGCUGUCUGUCUACCCACACGCCCGUGUCAGAAAUGCCCUUCGGUGCUUCCAUGCAGAAGGGAAGGAAGCACUUUUACAUUUUAGUUCUGCUUGUUAUUUGGAAGUUAUUUUAAAGGUCAUUUAAGUGGGUUUUUUUGUUGUUGUUGUUAACAGAGUUGUUUCCAGCCACUGCUAUGAGCCCAUCUAAAUGAAAUCGUGAGGACUAAGGAGAGGGGCACCCAUGACUGCCUUCAUCCACCCCCACAUCAUCUUUUCACCCAUCCACCCAUCCUUACUGCAGACCUUACUGGGCACCUGUGCCAGGAGAUGGUCACUGCCCAUCAGAAGCUCGUACAGGGAGAAGCAGUGGCCACAGCAGGAAGCAGAAGUUUGCUUGGUAAACUUGGAAUCGGAACCUGGGAAUUGGGCCACUGGGAUAUUCAAUGGCGUCAGACCGGUGUAGCUGAUACUCCUGGACAGAGGGGCCCUGCCAACUGGACAGAUGUGUGAAGUGUUGCUGACCGAGCUCCUUGCUCUGUGUGGGAGGGAGCUUGCCAGCUCCAGCCUUGUGGGUCUCCUUUUUCUAUUUCCAAGCUUAAAUAAGCACUUGGCUGUUCUGAUUAGCAUUUUUAAAAGCUGUGUUAAUAAGUUCAAUUAAAAUAGAAGAAUCUCUCAUUCUGUCAUAUCAGGGUUUUUUUUAAUUGCAAACCAAUAAAACUUAAAUGAACUUAAGCAAA